Molecule: transfer RNA, 69 nt
Filed under: Homalogonia obtusa
Lineage: Eukaryota; Metazoa; Arthropoda; Insecta; Hemiptera; Pentatomidae
Description: tRNA-Met
Source: RNAcentral
AGAAAGGUAAGCUAAACNCUUAAGCUACUAGGUUCAUACCCUAUUUAUAGAAAAUUUUUCUCCUUUCUA